AGAGUUUGAUCAUGGCUCAGAUUGAACGCUGGCGGCAGGCCUAACACAUGCAAGUCGAGCGGUAACAUUUCUAGCUUGCUAGAAGAUGACGAGCGGCGGACGGGUGAGUAAUGCUUGGGAAUAUGCCUUAGGGUGGGGGACAACAGAUGGAAACGACUGCUAAUACCGCAUAACGUCUUCGGACCAAAGGGGGCUUCGGCUUUCGCCCUUAGAUUAGCCCAAGUGGGAUUAGCUAGUUGGUGAGGUAAUGGCUCACCAAGGCGACGAUCCUUAGCUGGUUUGAGAGGAUGAUCAGCCACACUGGAACUGAGACACGGUCCAGACUCCUACGGGAGGCAGCAGUGGGGAAUAUUGCACAAUGGGCGCAAGCCUGAUGCAGCCAUGCCGCGUGUGUGAAGAAGGCCUUAGGGUUGUAAAGCACUUUCAGUAAGGAGGAAAGGUUAGUAGUUAAUACCUGCUAGCUGUGACGUUACUUACAGAAGAAGCACCGGCUAACUCCGUGCCAGCAGCCGCGGUAAUACGGAGGGUGCGAGCGUUAAUCGGAAUUACUGGGCGUAAAGCGUACGCAGGCGGUUUGUUAAGCGAGAUGUGAAAGCCCCGGGCUCAACCUGGGAACUGCAUUUCGAACUGGCAAACUAGAGUAUGAUAGAGGGUGGUAGAAUUUCAGGUGUAGCGGUGAAAUGCGUAGAGAUCUGAAGGAAUACCGAUGGCGAAGGCAGCCACCUGGGUCAAUACUGACGCUCAUGUACGAAAGCGUGGGGAGCAAACGGGAUU
RNAcentral lists this ribosomal RNA (774 nucleotides) under uncultured marine microorganism. RNAcentral's name for it is "bacterial SSU rRNA". It matches the Rfam family "Bacterial small subunit ribosomal RNA", at positions 8 to 779 of the family's 1533-position model. The record is from RNAcentral.